This is a small nuclear RNA of Lacerta agilis (Sand lizard), 107 nucleotides long. The record is from RefSeq and is a predicted model, not a curated record. Lineage: Eukaryota; Metazoa; Chordata; Lepidosauria; Squamata; Lacertidae.
AUGCUCGCUUCGGCAGCACAUAUACUAAAAUUGGAACAAUACAGAGAAGACUAGCAUGGCCCUGCGCAUAAAGGAGCUGUGCCAACAUUUUGGCCUUAUAUAGUUUU